RNAcentral lists this ribosomal RNA (427 nucleotides) under uncultured bacterium. RNAcentral's name for it is "partial 16S ribosomal RNA". It matches the Rfam family "Bacterial small subunit ribosomal RNA", at positions 355 to 774 of the family's 1533-position model. The record is from RNAcentral.
UGGGGAAUAUUGGACAAUGGGGGCAACCCUGAUCCAGCCAUGCCGCGUGUGUGAAGAAGGCCUUUUGGUUGUAAAGCACUUUAAGCAGUGAAGAAGACUCCAUGGUUAAUACCCAUGGACGAUGACAUUAGCUGCAGAAUAAGCACCGGCUAACUCUGUGCCAGCAGCCGCGGUAAUACAGAGGGUGCAAGCGUUAAUCGGAAUUACUGGGCGUAAAGCGAGCGUAGGUGGCUUGAUAAGUCAGAUGUGAAUGCCCCGGGCUUAACCUGGGAACGGCAUCUGAUACUGUUAGGCUAGAGUAGGUGAGAGGAAGGUAGAAUUCCAGGUGUAGCGGUGAAAUGCGUAGAGAUCUGGAGGAAUACCGAUGGCGAAGGCAGCCUUCUUGCAGCAUACUGACUCUGAGGUUCGAAAGCGUGAGUAGCAAACA